This 620-nucleotide ribosomal RNA is filed under the name Chryseobacterium sp. Ri2Pt_3922. RNAcentral's name for it is "bacterial SSU rRNA". It matches the Rfam family "Bacterial small subunit ribosomal RNA", at positions 395 to 1014 of the family's 1533-position model. The record is from RNAcentral. Lineage: Bacteria; Pseudomonadati; Bacteroidota; Flavobacteriia; Flavobacteriales; Weeksellaceae.
UCCCGCGUGAAGGACGACGGCCCUAUGGGUUGUAAACUUCUUUUGUACAGGGAUAAACCUACCCUCGUGAGGGUAGCUGAAGGUACUGUACGAAUAAGCACCGGCUAACUCCGUGCCAGCAGCCGCGGUAAUACGGAGGGUGCAAGCGUUAUCCGGAUUUAUUGGGUUUAAAGGGUCCGUAGGCGGAUGUGUAAGUCAGUGGUGAAAUCUCACAGCUCAACUGUGAAACUGCCAUUGAUACUGCAUGUCUUGAGUAAGGUAGAAGUGGCUGGAAUAAGUAGUGUAGCGGUGAAAUGCAUAGAUAUUACUUAGAACACCAAUUGCGAAGGCAGGUCACUAUGUCUUAACUGACGCUGAUGGACGAAAGCGUGGGGAGCGAACAGGAUUACAUACCCUGGUAGUCCACGCCGUAAACGAUGCUAACUCGUUUUUGGGCUUUCGGGUUCAUAGACUAAGCGAAAGUGAUAAGUUAGCCACCUGGGGAGUACGUUCGCAAGAAUGAAACUCACAGGAAUUGACGGGGGCCCGCACAAGCGGUGGAUUAUGUGGUUUAAUUCGAUGAUACGCGAGGAACCUUACCAAGGCUUAAAUGGGAAUUGACAGACGCAGAAAUGUGUUUU